RNAcentral lists this long non-coding RNA (1305 nucleotides) under Pogona vitticeps (central bearded dragon). RNAcentral's name for it is "lncRNA (ENSPVIG00000023257.1)". The record is from RNAcentral. Lineage: Eukaryota; Metazoa; Chordata; Lepidosauria; Squamata; Agamidae.
GCGCCUGUCCUCCCCAGGCAGCAGCCCCUCCUCCCUCCCUCCCGGGGCCUCCCCUUAAGGAAAGGGAUCCCAUUGAUAAGAGAAGGUCAACCAGUUUCUUGGUGGUCAGGGUGGCCCUGGGACCGGCUGGGAGGGGGGGAGCCCGAGAUCCUGGGGGCAGGGGAAGCCCCCCCAAACCCUGAGCGCCUGUCCUCCCCAGGCAGCAGCCCCUCCUCCCUCCCUCCCGGGGCCUCCCCUUUAAGCGCCCACGCAGGCGCACUCGCCUCCCUCCUUCCCUGCCUCCUCUGGCCGGCGGACGGGCAGGCGGGGCUCCGGCAGGGACAAAGGCGGGCGCACCGGGCGGAGCAGAGACGGGGCGCCCGGGGCCACGAUCCCGCCCUUGCACGGAGGAAGAGGAGGAGGAGGAGAGGCCGAAGAAGGAAGGAAGGAAGGGGGAGGAAAGGAGGCGCGCCCUUGCGGGGGACCCCCCGGGACGAGAGUGCCUCUGAGCGUGGCCAGAGUGCAGCCACCGCCCUUGGAAGAGGGGGGGUGGUCCCGAUCCGGCGGCCCCCCAGGAGUUGGGCAGCAGCAGAGCCGAGCCCCCCACCGGCUGCCUCCUCUCCCUUCCAUGGCUCGGGGGGCUCCGCUCCCCUCCGGGGCUUGACCUCCUCCUCCGGGCCCCGAUCCGGCGCCCCUUCCUCCUCCUCUUCCUCCUCCUCCGGCCACCAUGAGCGUCCUGCCGGCGGCGGGGUCCCCCCCGGAGAGGAGGAGGAGCACCAGCAUCAUCACCGCCGCCGCAUCAUCAUCCUUCUCCGCAUCAUCCUCCGCCUCCACGGCCGGGCCGGGGGUCUCCUUACUGGAGGGCCUCCCGCCGCUCCCCAAAGGCCUGAGCGGGAUCCUGCACUCCAGCGGCGGCUCCUGGAGGGAGAUCGAGAAGGUCUACAGCAAGAAGACCCGCAUCCAGGCCGACCUCCGACGGGAUCGGGACCGGGAUCGGGACCGGGAGGAAGAGGAGGAGAAGGAGGAAGAAGGGAGGAGGAGGAGGAGGCGAGCCCCCCCCAGGCCGGCCAACCUCGACGCCGCCCUCGCCCUCCUCCGCAAGGAGAUGGUAAGGAGGGACACCCCCACCCCCCAGGGAGGGGAGGGGAUGGGAUGGGUGGGAAUCAUACUCCUCAUCACCAUCACCAGGGCUGGAAACGGGAGUCGAACCUCCAGCCUCUUGGAUGCGCCGCUGGAAGGGGACCCUAUAGGGAUCAUCCAGCUGGCACAGGGAGGAUUCGAACUCUCCACCUCGGACUCCCCAAGCCAGCUAUCCUCCAUCGCUGA